UGCGCAAUAAGGAAUCAUUAGCUCGAAUCCAUAAAAAAGAAAUAUUAAAAUAUUAGUGUAAGGCACAAAUUUUGUAAGGAUCAAUCAGAAAAAUCCUAACAUAAAGAUUGAUCCUAGGUGCUUUUCGUUACUGUGUUGUGGGCCCUAUGAUACGUGGCGGCUCACGAUUGAUCCCUUUUUUUUUUAAUUAAACGAAAAAAAAAAAAAAACUAAUAAAAUAAUUAAAAUUUAACAUUGGAAAUCGAGCUCUCCAGUUCCACCAUUGUAGGUGCCCUUAACGGUAUAUCUUCGUAUCAAAGAGCAUAAGUGGAUCCGCUUAAAUUUUUCAAGGUUAGAGUCUCCAAAAUAGCACAUUUCUAAGUUUAUGUCACAAAAUAGCUCUCAAACACUAAAAUGACCAAAAUAGCAUUUUAUCUUUUGAAAAAUUUAAUUUUAUUUUAUUUUUCAAAAUUUGAAAUCUUAUCCCAAAACCAUACUCCUCAACUCUAAACCCUAAACUCUAAACUCUAAACCCUAAAUCUUAAAUCCUAAACCCCACCCCUUAACUCUAAACCCUAAACUCUAGAUACCACCUCUAAACCCUAAACCCUAAACCCUAAACCCUAAACCCUAAACCCUAAACCUUAAACUCCACCCCUUAACUCUAAACCCUAAUGUCUAAAUUAAUUUACCAUUGGGGUAUAAAUUUAUAUUUAUCUCUUUUGAUAAAACAUUAAGUGUUAUUUUGGUCAUUUUUAUUCU
Molecule: long non-coding RNA, 741 nt
Filed under: Brassica napus (rape)
Lineage: Eukaryota; Viridiplantae; Streptophyta; Magnoliopsida; Brassicales; Brassicaceae
Description: long non-coding RNA (BNAP_LNC023098)
Source: RNAcentral